GCUUACACAACCGCCUUCAUGUCCGUGUACUUGGCCGUCUUCUUGAUAGUGAAGAUAAGCUUGACCUCAGUGUCUG
RNAcentral lists this small RNA (76 nucleotides) under Arabidopsis thaliana (thale cress). RNAcentral describes it as "ATSL220890". Lineage: Eukaryota; Viridiplantae; Streptophyta; Magnoliopsida; Brassicales; Brassicaceae. The record is from RNAcentral.